AACCCGACUACAUGAAGCUGGAAUCGCUAGUAAUCGCGGAUCAGAAUGCCGCGGUGAAUACGUUCCCGGGUCUUGUACACACCGCCCGUCACACCAUGGGAGCCGGUAACGCCCGAAGUCAGUGACCCAACCGAGAGGAGAGAGCUGCCGAAGGCGGGACAGGUAACUGGGGUGAAGUCGUAACAAGGUACC
This 192-nucleotide ribosomal RNA is filed under the name uncultured bacterium. Its description in RNAcentral is "partial 16S ribosomal RNA". It matches the Rfam family "Bacterial small subunit ribosomal RNA", at positions 1309 to 1500 of the family's 1533-position model. The record is from RNAcentral.